GGAUGAUGUCGGACUCGGCUGAAGCGAGUGGCUGUUUUAUGAAAUGGACAUAUUCCCAUCUCUUCACUUUUCUGAAACAAGCAGACAAGAACAUUACAGUAAUAUGCAAGCUAUGUCCUGGGGAGAAAAAACUAUCGGCCGGUGUUAAUAGCGAGAGCAUAGACGAACACUUCUGAGUGAUCCUUGUUCAUCAUCCAUGGAUAACACCGCAGCAACUCCUGCUAAGCAGCAAAACUUGAUUUUAGUUCAGCAGCACAGAAAGCGUCUGAAGGUUUGUGUGCUUCUUGGAGGUGAGACAUAUGUCUCAUGUUCAGUGGUUGAACCUGCUUUCUGCCACCUGGUCUCCGAUGACUUAAACUACAAUGUGAAAUUUAAGACCUAUCCCAACGUGCAGCUACACUCAGCCAUCAGUGGCUCAAGAUAGCUACUGUGCUUGACCCACGCUUUAAGGAUUUAAAGUGUCUUGCAAGGGGAGAGCGAGAAGAGGUUU
Molecule: long non-coding RNA, 490 nt
Organism: Oreochromis aureus
Lineage: Eukaryota; Metazoa; Chordata; Actinopteri; Cichliformes; Cichlidae
Source: Ensembl